Molecule: non-coding RNA, 81 nt
Organism: Pyronema omphalodes
Lineage: Eukaryota; Fungi; Ascomycota; Pezizomycetes; Pezizales; Pyronemataceae
Source: the annotation of a GenBank genome assembly
GGGUUUGUAGUUCAAUUGGUUAGAACGAGGCCACUUAGUAUACUUAGGAGCUUCAUGUGUGUUCGAGUCCCACCAAGCCCA